GAUGAACGCUGGCGGCGUGCCUAAUACAUGCAAGUCGAGCGAACAGAUGAGGAGCUUGCUCCUCUGACGUUAGCGGCGGACGGGUGAGUAACACGUGGAUAACCUACCUAUAAGACUGGGAUAACUUCGGGAAACCGGAGCUAAUACCGGAUAAUAUAUUGAACCGCAUGGUUCAAUAGUGAAAGACGGUCUUGCUGUCACUUAUAGAUGGAUCCGCGCCGCAUUAGCUAGUUGGUAAGGUAACGGCUUACCAAGGCAACGAUGCGUAGCCGACCUGAGAGGGUGAUCGGCCACACUGGAACUGAGACACGGUCCAGACUCCUACGGGAGGCAGCAGUAGGGAAUAUUCCGCAAUGGGCGAAAGCCUGACGGAGCAACGCCGCGUGAGUGAUGAAGGUCUUCGGAUCGUAAAACUCUGUUAUUAGGGAAGAACAAAUGUGUAAGUAACUAUGCCCGUCUUGACGGUACCUAAUCAGAAAGCCACGGCUAACUACGUG
This 497-nucleotide ribosomal RNA is filed under the name uncultured bacterium. RNAcentral describes it as "partial 16S ribosomal RNA". It matches the Rfam family "Bacterial small subunit ribosomal RNA", at positions 28 to 507 of the family's 1533-position model. The record is from RNAcentral.